This is a non-coding RNA of Biomphalaria pfeifferi, 912 nucleotides long. The record is from the annotation of a GenBank genome assembly. Lineage: Eukaryota; Metazoa; Mollusca; Gastropoda; Planorbidae.
UAUUUUGUAUAUUCAAUUUAUUGCAGCCAAAAAAAAAAAAAAAAGUUUUUCAUUUUUUGUACGAGUUUACAUUGAUAGUAUAAGACAGAGACUUUAUACAUGGCAGCAUAAACAAUUCAAAGACCAGACUUAGUUACAGAAUAAAUUAAAUCAAGCGAGUGCAAGGUACAGCAAGGCAAGGACAAUGUGACUACAGCUUGCCACAAAUCUCAUUUACAUUUAUAGUUACAGCACAGGACAAGUCUGAUUUCUUAAUACAAGAUAUCCUCUUACAGAAUGUAUGACAUAGUAGACAAUGACAAGUGUCAUUAUAGAGUUCAAAUGUCAAAAGAAUUUCUAAUGUAUGGUACCGUAUCUCUAUUUUUAAAUCUUGUAUUCAACAGAAUCUAGCCCUUGUUACACUGCAUGAAUUGCAAUAAAAAAAAGAUUGUGGACAGAUCAUGGGUGGUGCCCCAACAGUCUAGGAUACGGGUGAAGUUGAUACUACAGAAUUAAAAUGAUUGAUAUCUGACUUGAUGUGACCUCAACAAAUGUGGAUGACUUAUGUUUUCUUUGAGAGUUUCUCUAAACUGCUGUCUAGUUGGCAAAAGAUGAUGUAGUUAUGCUUUAAAGCUUGCCACUAUGUCUGUAAGUACACUCAGAAACAUUGCAUAGAUCUGAACUAGGCACUACACUCAUGCCAGAUAUGCACAUCAUAUCUUAAGAAAAUUUUUUUUUUAUAAGGGGUCAAAAUGUGUUCUCUCCGAUUUCUAUUCCCCUGAUGAAUUACAAUUUAAGUUUCUAUAAAAAGUUAAUCUGUGAGCCCUACUAUAGUACCAUAGAUGUACUAUUGUAACAUGGCCAUGUUAUUGUACCAUAGAUGUACUAUUGUAACAUGGCCAUGUUAUUGUACCAUAGAUGUACUAUUGUAAC